UUUCAUGAAAAUCUUGUCAUACCCUGAAUUUUCUCUGAUACCACGUCGGCUGAAAUCUUUCAUCAAUUUGAGAUAUUUGGUGAAGAAUAUAAACAUCCCAGAGUAGUUUCUAUAUUUGUGUAUGAAGAAGAUGAACAUCUGGAAGAGUUGCCAAAGCUGUGAAUGAAUGUAAACAUAUAUUAGUACCGAUUUCAGCUAAAAAAAAAUCAUCUAGAUGCUAUGCACGAACAACUAAUAAGCUGCACAACACCUGUAAGUUGUUGAUAAAUAAUAAAGUGGGCCUUGUCAAUUUAAUGAAGAACUGGACUCAUAAGCUUGGGCUACAGCCCAGAUGCUGCCUCCAUUUACUGUAUUAGAGACAGAUAUCUCAUUUGGCGACAUAUAUGGCUCCACUUUACACUUAUUCAUAAU
This 411-nucleotide long non-coding RNA is filed under the name Solanum tuberosum (potato). RNAcentral describes it as "long non-coding RNA (STUB_LNC003222)". The record is from RNAcentral. Lineage: Eukaryota; Viridiplantae; Streptophyta; Magnoliopsida; Solanales; Solanaceae.